GCCCGGGUGGACAUGUGGUUUAUUCGAGCACGCGAAGAACCUUACCAGGUCUUGACAUCCUCUGACAACCCUAGAGAUAGGGCUUCUCCUUCGGGAGCAGAGUGACAGGUGGUGCAUGGUUGUCGUCAGCUCGUGUCGUGAGAUGUUGGGUUAAGUCCCGCAACGAGCGCAACCCUUGAUCUUAGUUGCCAUCUUUUAGUUGGGCACUCUAAGGUGACUGCCGGUGACAAACCGGAGGAAGGUGGGGAUGAC
Molecule: ribosomal RNA, 252 nt
Filed under: Bacillus cereus
Lineage: Bacteria; Bacillati; Bacillota; Bacilli; Caryophanales; Bacillaceae
Description: partial 16S ribosomal RNA
Rfam family: Bacterial small subunit ribosomal RNA
Source: RNAcentral